GAAAAACUGUCAGGAAAUGCAUUGAGGUGGGAGGGGGGAACAAAUCUGCUUUCCCUCUUCUAGCCCUUUCCUCAAGUUGUUCAGAAAAGAUAGAAGUAGGGAAGAAGGAAAAAGCCUUAGCGGCCACUGCUUGUGAGAAGUGGUGCCUCUGGAAUCAGAGAGAGCGCGCCCCAGCCAGGCGGCUCUCUCCUGCGGGAGGCGCUUGGUUUGCAAGGGGUUAACAGCGUUGCUCGUGAACUUGGCCUGUCUGUCUGGCUCGUGAUGGAUGGUGAGACCCGCUGACAAGUUCAGCCGGAGGGACCUCCCCUGCUGUGGCGGCGGGAGAAACACGCAGGCGGAAGGGACCCGGGGCGAGCGGUCGGGACGCUCGGGGAAGACUGUAGUUUGGCGUGGCAGGGCGACCGAAAAGGCGAGCUGCUCUGCCUGCCCUCUCGGCUCCCGCCUCCCCUUGACCGCUCGCUUCCUCCGCUGGAGCUUUCCUAUACCGUCCUGGAACACCGAAGUUUCCCGGAGCUUCGCGCGCUACUCCCCUGCAGGCGCCUCCCUCCUCUUCUCGGGCACGAACUUGCCGUCAGCAACCGUUCGUAGGAGGGCGUGCGGGUGGAAAGGACACAUUCCGGAAUCAGAAGACAGGGAACGAAGAAGUGGGAGCCCCGGUGGAAGAUUCCGAAGCUGGGAAGGAGGAGAAAAUGAAACGUUGCCCGAAGACAAUGGCCGAGACAGCAGGUCCCACCCUGCACGGCCUGCCAGCACCUCUCCCCCCAGCCCCGUCUCCUCCUCUGCAGCUUGGAUCUGUACGUUAACAUUGCUCGUCUGCAGUAAGAAAUAAAAAGAACCCCCCCCUCGGAACCAAUCUAUAAAAACAACGUGUCUGGCCGUGAACAUGCAGGGGCGGCUAUAGACUGUCAGAGGUGGAGGUUUGAGCCAGACUUUGCUGACUGCUGGCCCGAUGGAUACAAGGGCCCCUCAUCCAUUCUUGGGGCCCCCACCUCUGAGUCCUAGGACUUCUCCCCAGCUGCCAGCCAGGCGGGGGAGGGGAGAGGGGCCCAAGCAGCUGCAGGGGCUGUGUUAGUAAACACUUUCCUGGGUUCCCAUUUUCCUCACCACCCCCUACCCUUCUCCACUCCUGAUGCCCCGUUACACACCACCCCCCCCCCCAACCCCAGCAUCCCCUUUUCUGUGGCCUGCACAAUGAGCUCAUUGUCCUGGGUGUGAUUUGAAUAAGGGAUCGGCGGGCCCGUUCCCAGCAUUGUCCGAGGGGCUGGGAAAAACCCCAGCACAGGCAGGAGGACCAGGCCAGACAGAGACAGAUGCCUAAAUUAGCAACAAAGCUUUGUGCACGUCCCCUGGACAAGGGCUCGCCUUGUUUGCGUGGACUCGAGGGUGUGGAGCUGGCCGGCUGCUCGCAUGUCUCCCCAUGUUAAUUAGUUUUGCAUGCAUGUCUGAGAAGGUGCCAGGGGGGAUGUGUUUGCCUUUCCCCGGGAGGGGGACCUGUUUGUGGCGGUGGAGCUGAGCUGGGCCGGGCCUACCUGGGGAGCCAGGCUCUGAGCCUGGGUGGGAAUUUCGGCGUCCUCAUCCUGCUUUUCUGUCUCUCUGCCCUUUGGGGGGCCUGGCUCUGCUCCCUGUAUCCCCCGCCCCCUCUGUUCUUACCCUAGCACGUCUGAAAGUUGGUUAGCUCUGACUACAGGGAACUCACUGGCUUCCACCCAGACCCAAGCCAGUGCCUGUCCAUCUGGCAGUCUGUCUCUCGUGACACAGGGCCCCCCGGGACGGGCAGCAGAAGCGGCCAGUCUGGGCUCUCCUCCGUCCCCGAGCCAGAUGGCCAGUCU
RNAcentral lists this long non-coding RNA (1829 nucleotides) under Felis catus (domestic cat). RNAcentral describes it as "lncRNA (ENSFCAG00000052087.1)". The record is from RNAcentral. Lineage: Eukaryota; Metazoa; Chordata; Mammalia; Carnivora; Felidae.